RNAcentral lists this ribosomal RNA (397 nucleotides) under uncultured bacterium. Its description in RNAcentral is "partial 16S ribosomal RNA". It matches the Rfam family "Bacterial small subunit ribosomal RNA", at positions 360 to 774 of the family's 1533-position model. The record is from RNAcentral.
AAUAUUGGACAAUGGGCGCAAGCCUGAUCCAGCCAUGCCGCGUGAGUGAUGAAGGCCCUAGGGCUGUAAAGCCCUUUCACCGGUGAAGAUAAUGACGGUAACCGGAGAAGAAGCCCCGGCUACCUGCGUCCCAGCAGCCGCGGUAAUACGAAGGGGGCUAGCGUCGUUCGGAUUUACUGGGCGUAAAGCGCACGUAGGCGGAUUGGUAAGUUAGGGGUGAAAUCCCGGAGCUCAACUCCGGAACUGCCUUUAAUACUGCCAGUCUAGAGUCCGAGAGAGGUGAGUGGAACUCCUAGUGUAGAGGUGGAAUUCGUAGAUAUUAGGAAGAACACCAGUGGCGAAGGCGGCUUACUGGCUCGGAACUGACGCUGAGGUGCGAAAGCGUGGGGAGCAAACA